Eubalaena glacialis (North Atlantic right whale) is the source of this 611-nucleotide non-coding RNA. NCBI's taxonomy places the organism in Eukaryota, Metazoa, Chordata, Mammalia, Artiodactyla, Balaenidae. The record is from the annotation of a RefSeq genome assembly.
AUGGGCAACCAGGUGAUCUGCUGUGUGGCCCUUUGUCUCCUCAGAGCAGGCACUGUGGAUGGCAGGGUCACUCAGACCCCAAAAUACCUGUUCAAAGUGGAAGGACGAGAUGUGACCCUGAAAUGUGAACAGGAUUUUGAUUACGACGUCAUGUACUGGUACCGACAGGACCCAGGACAAGGGCUGAGACUGAUCUACUACUCUCAAAUUGAUAGGAAGAUUUCACAAAACAAACAGGAUUCUCUGGGAGCUGGGAGAAAGGCUCUGGGCUCAGUGCUCUCGUCUCUCAACAUCCCAGCAGGGCUAUCUGUAAGAGUGGAGCGUCUGUGACCAUCCAGUGCCGUUCAGUGGACUUUCAAGCCUCAACUGUGUUUUGGUAUCAUCAGUUCCCAAAACAGGGCCUCGUGCUGAUAGCCACUUCUAAUGAGGGCUCUGAUGCCACAUACGAACAAGGUUACACCAAGGCCAAGUACCCCAUCAGCCACUCAAGCCUCACAUUUUCAUCUCUGAUGGUGACAAAUGUGCACCCUGCAGACAGCAGCCUCUACUUCUGUGGUGCCAGAGACACAGCGCUGGGCGGAGAUCAGAGACCCAAACAAGAACCUUUGUAA